Long non-coding RNA from Triticum aestivum (bread wheat), 309 nucleotides. RefSeq lists it as uncharacterized. The transcript has 3 exons. NCBI's taxonomy places the organism in Eukaryota, Viridiplantae, Streptophyta, Magnoliopsida, Poales, Poaceae. The record is from RefSeq and is a predicted model, not a curated record.
UUGUGAUUGAUUCUAGGUAUAUACAGAUGCCAUCUCUGUCUGGCAACAUAUGGACCUGAUUACAUUCAGGUGCUCAUUGAGCUGUCUAAGAACAAGUAGAUCAUCAUUUCACCAUCUUCGGCCGCCCCAGGAUGCUGGCCUUCAUUCUUCAAAAGUUGGGUGUACAGGAGCUCUAGGAAGAAGAAUCCCGAAGAAAAACCACACCCAGCAAUGCGUUUUUAGCUCACUGGAGAUAGUUAUGUGUGAAGCUAGUUAUGUGUAUAUUUAGUUGUAUUUUAUAGCUAAAUACUAGAUUUGGACUAUGUACUU